CCUACGGGCGGCAGCAGUGGGGCAUAUUGCGCAAUGGGCGAAAGCCUGACGCAGCGACGCCGCGUGAGGGAUGAAGGUCUUCGGAUUGUAAACCUCUGUCAGCAGGGAAGAACGGUCACUGUGCUAAUCAGCAGUGAAUUGACGGUACCUGCAAAGGAAGCACCGGCUAACUCCGUGCAAGCAGCCGCGCUAAUACGGAGGGUGCGAGCGUUAACCGGAAUUACUGGGCGUAAAGCGCGCGUAGGCGGUAUGUCAAGUCAAGUGUGAAAUACCCGCGCUAAACGUGGGAACUGCCUUUGAAACUGGCAAACUGGAGUGUGUGAGAGGAUAGUGGAAUUCCAGGUGUAGGAGUGAAAUCCGUAGAUAUCUGGAGGAACAUCAGGGGCGAAGGCGACUAUCUGGCACAUAACUGACGCUGAGGAGCGAAAGCGUGGGUAGCAAACAGGAUUAGAUACCCGAGUAGUC
RNAcentral lists this ribosomal RNA (465 nucleotides) under uncultured bacterium. Its description in RNAcentral is "partial 16S ribosomal RNA". It matches the Rfam family "Bacterial small subunit ribosomal RNA", at positions 338 to 795 of the family's 1533-position model. The record is from RNAcentral.